AGAAACUUUGUUCAGGAAGAUUUCUCAGUAGCUCAGAGGACAGGCUGCUUUUUACACAACCUUGUAAGAGAAUGUCUGUCAAUGCUUUCAGCAGAAUUUAGAAACACAACACUUCCUAAACAGAUGUUUUGAGGCUGUGAGGUUGAACGUUUGAGAGUAUAUCAGUGUGUUUGUUUGUGGUCUUUGUGUUUCUAGGUGGAAGCUGAAUUAGUGAGGAUGACUCCUGCUCCUGUCAUCUCUAAGCUCCUCACACAUCUUUACCUGCACAUGAGGAAAAUCACUCCUGUAGAAUGCAGAUGUUCAGAGGGAGAUGAUGCCACAUCUGGUCCAGCCGAUGGAAGGUCUUGAAGUUCUCUGACUGGCCUGGACUGAAGAUGGUCGUCUCACUGGAUUUAAGGUUCAGAUGCUCAGUAACAAACUCCACCAAUGUGCCAACAGGGAAGCUUUAGGUUUAUUAAAUGUUGCUAUGAAGGUUUCGCUGUUUUUCUUUGUGAAUGCAAUGUGCUCCAACUGAAACUUGAAUUAGAACUUAGAAGUAAAUCCUUCCAUCUGAAAGGAUUUAGUUGCAUUAAUAACCUCAUAACAUUCUAAUUUUUAUUCCAGUCUUGGUUGGAAAUAGAAUCUCUGUAUUGAUUUAGGUAAAAACUGAACUUCACAGCAUGUUGGAGCAAAACAACCAGAUGAAAACUGUGAUGGUGUUGGAUUGUCAGACCGUAAUGUUGCAGCUCAAAGCAGCUUUUCUAUCUCAGUUCAUUCUGACAUUCAGCUAUGAAUCAACACAGCAGAUGGUGAUCCAUGCUGUGGAAGUCUCACAUCUCCUGAUUUAAUGGAGCUGCUUUGCACUUUUUACACUGUUUAUUCACCAACACUUUAUUUAAUCAAAGUCCCAUCUAGUUUUCAUGAGGAAUGUGAUGUUUUAAUUUCUCUGUGAAUAACUGCAGUCUAAUGCAACAGCUGGAGUUGUAACAUCUGUCCUCAUAUUGAUCAUGAAGUAUUGAUCAGAAUACUUAUGGUCAGCAGUCAUCCCUGAAGUUUUACAUUAAAAUCUUUACUUGUGUUGUGAACUUUGGUAAGAAGCAGAAACGUUAGCGUUGCCAUGGAUACAUGAGUGUUAAAUUCUGUCCAUGUUUCAUUUUGGGAAAUGCAGUCCAGUUCCACAAUGUGGAGGAAUUUAGUCUCAAAAUCACAGACAAUAAAUAUUAUCUGAAAGUUGGGUUAUUGUUGUUUAUCAGCACAAUACAAAAAGAUUAAUAUUAGAAAUAUUCCAGUUAAGGCUCUAGAAUAUCAUGAUUUAUGUAAAUUUACCUCAAUAAUAUGAAUGUUCAGGUUAAGAUUGUACAGUGAUAUUAUGUAAGUUUAGCUGAUUAAAGUUUAUGACUCUGCACUAAAAUAUUAUUUUAAUUGACAUCAUUAUUAUAAUAUUUAGGGUCAGACCCUACAGUAUUGAGAUUAAGAAAUCAAAUAUUCUAUAAAAUGUAAAUACACUGAACUCAUUUGGAUGUAUUUAAAUGAGACUCUACAAUAUUAUUUGACACAAAUCUAAAUCAAAAUUUUAAUUAUUUUCAUGCCAAACAUUUACUGGACUGAUUUAAAUAUUAAAAUCACUCCUUUCUAAUCCUCUGCUGUAUGUUCAAACCUGAGGCCUUAAAUAGAAACACACAAGUAUCUGAUUGAAGGAACUUCUGCAGAGUCCUGGUUCCAGAACAUGAUGAUAGAAUUAUAGACAAACUUUAACAAAAGCUGCCUGAGAGUUUACAGGUUUUUAUGUUAGAUUUCUUCAGUAAUUUAAUGAGUUAUCAGCAAAAAUCAAGUGUUCAUUUGAUGAACUUCAUUUCCUAAAACAUCCAGAAUUGGAGCUCAUAUCUUUGGCAGCUGUAAAGUUUCUGCUCCUUCAAAGUUCACAACACAAUGAAUGAAUUCCUAAAACACUCUCAGUGCUGGAGAGCGUUUGUGAUGCUGAAGCAGUGACCAGUUUUUCUGUUUCUUCUCUGGAGAUGCACAAUGAGGGACGUCUGCAGAGACUGAGAAAGAGUCUCACCACAUCCUGACAUGAGGAAAAAGACUUUAUUGAAGACUACAAUGAGAAAAACUAUCAGACAGCAGACGGCUGCAUUCAAGUCUGUAGCUGCUGAAUUCAUGGAUGAAUCAUCUGGCACUAGAGAGGAAGACCAUCAAACAUCCACGUCAGCUGAUGGAGGUCCAAGAGUCUCACCAAACAACCAACCUACAGAGUGAAGGCCUCAAAUCUGAUUGGACGGCCUCCUAUUCAGCCACAUGUGUGAACAAAUGCCUCUAAGCUGAUUUGUUUUCUAAAAUAAAUCUAGUUUGAGUCGGUUAUUAAAUGUCAAAACAAUCCACGUGACUCUAUAAACUCAACAGCUUUAAGAUUAAACUCUCCACAAGGAUCCAAAAUAAGUUGGACUUCUACAUGAGAGCUUUAAUUAUUCUUCAUCUAAUUCCUGAAAAGUUUGGUCAAUAAAAAAGACAAAAACUAAUAUUUUCAGCUGAACUAAAGACAGACUUUGUGAUUUUUCUGCUCACAUGUUGUGUUGUUGUAAACUUACUCUUUCAAAUAAAUAGCCGCCUAACCCCCUGGAAACCAGCGUUUGUCCUGUUUUUGUGUUGCUCUCGGCGACCCUAGACAGCCAGGUCCUAAUGUUUUUUGAGCAACACACCAUACUAUGACGUUUUUACAAUGAUGGUUCUACUAUGGAACCAGUUUGACAUGUUCAGGUGUUCUUUGUGUGAAAACUCAGAGAUUUCAGGUAUCAGAAGGUGGUUUUCAACUUUCUUUGUUAACUUUCUGCUUCAACUUUAAACUAAAUUUCCUUCACUAACCCAGCCCUCUGGACUUCCAGUAAGCUGUGUUCCUAUUGGCUGUCCAGGUGGCUGCUUGGUGUUAUCAGGAACACCUGAGCAGCUCAGUGUCUUCCUGCUUUAUUUAGCUGCAGUCAAACAUUUCCUCUGUUUCUCUUCACCACUGAACUGGGUUUGGCUCCAUUGCUUUAGUUUGUUCUUUAGGCGUUGGCUUGCAGCUUCCAGCAGUAAAAUCCUCUUUAAUGUGUUUCUUGGUGUGUUUUAGGGCUUUGUACUGGAUAGUUGUCUUGGUAAAUGUGGUUCUUUAGCCACAGUUAGCACAUGGUGCUAAUGUGUGCAGUGAUUAGUGGAUUUGAUGCAGCUGAGUUGUGUCUUUAUCUUGGCUGUAGUGAGUCUUCAGAGGUUUUUGGUCAGACACAUUCUGUAUUCUUGUUUGAGAACCAGCGUUGGUUGUCCAGAAGGUAAGAGUUCCUGUCCUGAUUCUCUGUUCUCAGAGGUUCUCUGGUAGGCUGCAGGAGACUUUAGCGUUUGAGUUGUGCUAGUUUGGUUUUUGUAUGGUUUCAUUUGGAUGACUAUCUUGAGGCCCCUCCAUGUGGUUUAGUGAGGUUUUCUGGAACAGUUCUACAUAGCAACCUGAAGCAGAAGAGACUUUGAGAGUUUUUAGGAAGUUCUGGAGACCAGACUUUAGAGCAGCAGAAACAUUUGUCAGCAGUUUGAGCAGGAGAAGGUGAGCUUCAGAGUAGAAAUGAGACAGAAACCUUCUUGACCCGUGUGGUGAGGUCCUUUACCAAGAGUUUGAGCAGGUUGUGAAGAGUCUGUAGUUCUUUGGUCUGAAAGCACAAGAAGAGUCGACUCAUUAAAGGAGAAAACAGGAGAUAUUGUUGGUUCUUCUGUCGCUCUGCAGUUUCCUUAGACUGAAUAUCAAGUUUAUAUUUUAAAUGAUUUAUCAUGUGAGCCCAAGAAGACUGCAGUAAACUCCCUCCAUCCCCUGGACACAACAUAUUUUAUUACCAUGUUAAAUCUUUUUUUUAAAAAUGUUUUUGAG
Amphiprion ocellaris (clown anemonefish) is the source of this 3862-nucleotide long non-coding RNA. RefSeq lists it as uncharacterized. The transcript has 3 exons. The record is from RefSeq and is a predicted model, not a curated record. Lineage: Eukaryota; Metazoa; Chordata; Actinopteri; Pomacentridae.